Molecule: ribosomal RNA, 467 nt
Filed under: uncultured bacterium
Lineage: Bacteria
Description: partial 16S ribosomal RNA
Rfam family: Bacterial small subunit ribosomal RNA
Source: RNAcentral
GAUGAACGCUGGCGGCGUGCUUAACACAUGCAAGUCGAACGGAAAGGCCCAAGCUUGCUUGGGUACUCGAGUGGCGAACGGGUGAGUAACACGUGGGUGAUCUGCCCUGCACUUCGGGAUAAGCCUGGGAAACUGGGGCUAAUACCGGAUAGGACCACUUCUUGGAUGUUGUGGUGGAAAGAUUUUUCGGUGUGGGAUGAGCUCGCGGCCUAUCGGCUUGUUGGUGGGGUUAUGGCCUACCAAGGCGUCGACGGGUAGCCGGCCAGGGAGGGUGUACGGCGCCAUUGGGACUGAGAGACGGCCCCGGCUCCUACGGGAGGCAGCAGUGGGGAAGAUUGAACAAUGGGCGCAAGCCUGAUGAUGCGAGGCCGCGGGGGGGAUGACGGCCUUCGGGUUGUAAACUCCUUUCGCUAGGGACGAAGCGUUUUGUGACGGUACCUGGAGAAGAAGCACCGGCUAACUACGUG